Molecule: ribosomal RNA, 468 nt
Filed under: uncultured bacterium
Lineage: Bacteria
Description: partial 16S ribosomal RNA
Rfam family: Bacterial small subunit ribosomal RNA
Source: RNAcentral
GACGAACGCUGGCGGCGUGCUUAACACAUGCCAGUCGAACGGAAAGGCCCUGCUCUUGUGGGGCGCUCGUGUGGCGCACGGGUGAGUAAAACGCGAGUAACCUGCCCUUGACUUUCGGAUAACUUCAGGAAACAGGGGCUAUUAUAGGAUAGGAGCUCCUGCUGCACGGGGGUGGAUGGAAAGAUUCGGCGGUUGGGGAUGGACUCGCGGCUUAUCAGCUUGUUGGUGGGGUAGUGGCUUACCAAGCCUUUGACGGAUAGCCGGCCUGGGAGGGCUGCCGGGCACAUUGGGCCUGAGGGACGCAGCAGUAGCCAACCGGAGGCAACAGGGGGAAAUAUUGCGCAGUGGGCGGGAGCGUGAGGUGGCGGCGCCGCGUGCGGGAUGACGUGCUUCGGGUUGUAAACAGCUUUCGCAUGUGACGAAGCGUGAGUGACGGUAAUGGGUAAAGAAGCACCGGCUAACUACGUG